GCCCCCCCAUGUGUAUGAAACCUGUCACUACACAGUGCAGAGACCCAGAAGCAGCUCGAACAGGAUGGGUAAACAGAAGAGUGUGGUGCGUUAGCUUGCAUGGACAUUUCCUAUCAGGCAGAUUCUCUUAUUUUUGUGAAAAAUUAGUUUGUGAUUCCUUACUGCUUGCUGCAAACUUAAAACACUGGACUCCAAAUUCUCGCCCCCCUAACGAACCUGCAACUCAGACUGAAAUAUAUCAAGAAAGGGGAAUACUUUUGCAGAUAGAACAUGAAGAUAUUUGUACAGACUGGUGAUGAAAGAACCCAAAGUGUCACAAACCUGAAGGUGAGAUUGACAUCUACAACCUUGAUCUCUUCCCUCUAAACUGCUAUCUGAUUUCUAGAGUCAGUAUGUAAGGUAGAGGACUUGAGUGAUGGUCAAACAUGCACAUUUUUCAAAUGAAAUAAAGGUCAUGAUCAUCCAAAUGUCCAGCCUAUGUAAUAACAAUCUUGAGCACAUGUAAAUAUUUAGGUAAAACAAAUUAAAAUCACAUGGAGU
Molecule: long non-coding RNA, 540 nt
Organism: Coturnix japonica (Japanese quail)
Lineage: Eukaryota; Metazoa; Chordata; Aves; Galliformes; Phasianidae
Source: RefSeq, a predicted model, not a curated record